Long non-coding RNA from Heterocephalus glaber (naked mole-rat), 1066 nucleotides. The record is from Ensembl. NCBI's taxonomy places the organism in Eukaryota, Metazoa, Chordata, Mammalia, Rodentia, Bathyergidae.
CUCAUCUGCUUAAUGCUUCUCCAACAUGUCUGCUGAAAAAGAUUUGCCGUCAGGAGCUUUAUCUCCUCACCCUUCCAGAACAACUUCUGAACAUUCCACACAGACCUUGCCAUCAAAGGGAGAGGAUAUUAACAUGAAGCUAAAAGAGGAGAGUCUGCAGGAUGAACCUCCAUUCACCAUAGAGCAAGAGUCUUUGGAGAAGGAAGAAUAUCCAGAGGAAGAAGAGUCUCUGGAGGAGGAAGAAUUUCCAGAGGAGGAAGAGUUUCUGGAGGAGGAAGAAUAUCCAGAAGAGGAAGAGUCUCUGGAGGAAGAUAUGUUUUUGGAGGGAGAAAAUUAUCUGAAAGGAAAAGAGGAUCUUUUUAAAGAAGAGGAUUUGAAGGAGAAAAUGCAUGUGGAAGAAAAAGAGUAUCCUUUUGAAAAGUAUCUGGAACAAAGUGAGUAUCUAUAAGGAAGAGAAUAUCUAGAGAAAGAAAUUUGUCUGGGAGACAGUAUCUGUACGAAGGAGAGCAUCGGAGAGUGAGGGCCCCCCAGAGGAUGGUAGCUCUAGUUCACCACAAUGCCGAGAAGAAAGAACAAAACCUGAGGCGCAGCCAACCACAGACUACUAACCCUAUCCAUGGUGCUGACAGGAGCUCAGCUGCCAGUACUUUUCAGGAAAGCAAGUCUAUUACCAUCCCGCAUAUCUUCACUACCCCUGUUCCUGCCUCUGAGCCUGCCAUGGAGUUUGCCCUGGAGUUGUCUUCCUGCUGCCUGAUGGUUCCUACGUCUUCCCUAAGACACCAGGCUAGUCAGACAGAAUGGACCUAUGAGGGAAAAUCUUCAAUAUCAAAACUGAAAACAGAUCAAGGAAUCUCAAUACUAUCCACUAUGAAGUCUGAUUUGGAAGUUGCCUCUGAAAUGGAGCAAGAUGAAGAUGAAGAUGGAGAUGAUGGGGCCCAGUUAUCCUGUGAGGGUCACUUUCUCCAAGUUCUUGCCUCAGAAGCCACCUCUUCCCGGAAGGAUGAAAGAGAGGCCCACGUUGUGAUUAUCAAUUCCACAAUGCAAUUCGUGCUCUGUCACAGUGGAG